RNAcentral lists this unclassified non-coding RNA (143 nucleotides) under uncultured Xylariales. Its description in RNAcentral is "sequence contains ITS1". The record is from RNAcentral. Lineage: Eukaryota; Fungi; Ascomycota; Sordariomycetes; Xylariales.
CUGAGUUUUAAACUCCCAAACCAUUGUGAACUUACCACUGUUGCCUCGGCGGCAGUCCUCUUCUCACGAAGUAGGCGGCCGCCGGUGGACUACUAAACUCUUGUUAAUUUUUGUCAAUUCUGAAUUAAAAACUUAAUAAGUUA